RNAcentral lists this non-coding RNA (295 nucleotides) under Paenibacillus macerans. RNAcentral describes it as "GlcN6P sequence". It matches the Rfam family "glmS glucosamine-6-phosphate activated ribozyme aptamer". Rfam says of the family: This entry contains a glucosamine-6-phosphate activated ribozyme that is found in the mRNA for GlmS. The record is from Rfam by way of RNAcentral. Lineage: Bacteria; Bacillati; Bacillota; Bacilli; Caryophanales; Paenibacillaceae.
AGAAGCAGUUAAGCGCCAGAGCUUCAUUUCGCGCGAAUGUGUCCGAGUCUGAGAGUGGAGGUUUGAGGCAUGUUGAUAUCUCGGCGGGGUUGGCCAGGGUCUGUGACGGCCUGACAGGCAGCCAUGCCGGUGAUGCCUUAGGCGGUUCGGAUGGGGACGUAUUCGGCAAAGAGAAGCUGACGAGGUGGAGGUGUUCGGAAUGUUCGGCGGGGGCCUCCCGGUGCUGCAUCGCACCGUAACCGCAUUGGCAAAAGGAAUGGGCGACCGUUCCCACAAACCUUGCGGGCAGAUGGAA